GAGUUCACGCGGAGGGCUGGAUUUUCAGGCUGAACCGCAACUUGCGCUGCGCGUUAUUAUUAUUCAUCUGAGGGUGCUGCCGCCACAACCUUUGCCUCCUGCGCUCCUCUCCUUCCCCCCGGCCGCUGCCGCCAGCAGUGCAGUCCCUCCUGCACGCAUGCUCUGGUUCACCGAGGGGAGAUUCUGAAUUUUUUAUCGUGCUCAUGAUCAUCAUCAUGAUAUUCCUUAUCAUGGUUAUCAUUUCCUCCUGCCAGGUGGAGCGACCACCAGCGCCUUCUCGCCACCCGCCCCUUCCCCAGCGAAGGAAGCAAUUCCGGCCGGGCCGCGGCGGCCGCUCCCUAGAUGCGGGUUUCCUUUGCCUCUCCGCAUCCCUCCCUCUUUCAUCUGCAUGUAUGUAUCUUGAUUCCUUUAUUCCAGUAGAUCUAUUGCCUUUCUUUGGGCUGGCCGAAACGCUGAGGAAUGCCACCAGUCUCUUCAAAAGAAGAACAAAAAGAGGAAGACCUUGAGUGGACCCCAGGACAAAGCACUUUGGGCUCGGCAAGAAGGGACGCGCGGGAGCGCUGACUCGGAACGAGAGUGAUCUCCGGUGCCAAGGAGCGCCCACCCAGCGUGCGGACUUCUGAGGGGAUCCAGCUGCAUUAGACACGAGUGACCUUUUAAAUCUACACCCACCCUUUACCUGCAAGAGGACUGCAGCAGGCGAGUUUCGGAAGGCUGCCUCCCCGAUACCGGCCCGGAGCGAGGCAGCUCGCCCCUGCGGCACGCCCGGACAGCCUGCGCCCGCACUCAGCCAGAGAGGAAAAAGCCUGGAUCCGAAAGGAUGGGGGAGAACAAAGAGCCUUUGGAAGACGUCGCUGUUAUCUCAUUGUCUGUGUGAUUGGGGGAGCUGCGGUAGGGAGGAUGCUGUGGUCCUGUUCUGCCUGCCUCCCCACCCCCAUCCCUCUCCCCGCUGUCAGUGCGCACGCACGCGCGCUUCUUUUUACUUAUUUUUCCUUGUUUUCUCAUUCCAUUUUCUCCCCAACCCCCC
Neogale vison (American mink) is the source of this 1027-nucleotide long non-coding RNA. RefSeq lists it as uncharacterized. The record is from RefSeq and is a predicted model, not a curated record. NCBI's taxonomy places the organism in Eukaryota, Metazoa, Chordata, Mammalia, Carnivora, Mustelidae. The transcript is spliced from 4 exons.